Osmia bicornis bicornis is the source of this 507-nucleotide long non-coding RNA. RefSeq lists it as uncharacterized. NCBI's taxonomy places the organism in Eukaryota, Metazoa, Arthropoda, Insecta, Hymenoptera, Megachilidae. The transcript has 2 exons. The record is from RefSeq and is a predicted model, not a curated record.
CGAUGAACCACCACCGAACUGGUUUACCAACUCUCGUCCGAUCUCUUUUAUAACCGGGCCUUUCUACGACAACCCCUACUUAAACACAGGAAGUGAUGCAGCUCACGUAAGAAUACCCUUGAACAAAACGAUUCAUAUUUCCGUGCACAACGUUCCUUGGGAAUGAGGAACUUUAUGUGCAUUUAUGCUUACAAUAGCCGGAUAUCCAGGUUGAUGCUCGAUGACCCGACUUCAUGACUCAAUGACACGUAAAAACACGUUUUGCUAAAACGAAACUAACAAUAAGUGUGCUUACCACAUAUCAUUUACAGGUGUACUUCGGCUAUACAAUAAAUAUUUUCAAUUUAUUUUAAAUCUUUUAAAUAUCAACUUUAUUCAGAAAUAGGCUACAACGAAUUACAUAGUAAGAAAAAUUGCUUGUUACAUUGACAAUUUCCUUUACAUUAUUUUUACAAAACAUAAAGGUCUGGAAUGUGUAUAAGGUGAUAAUAUAGAUUAUAAAAAUUA